This 578-nucleotide ribosomal RNA is filed under the name uncultured bacterium. RNAcentral describes it as "bacterial SSU rRNA". It matches the Rfam family "Bacterial small subunit ribosomal RNA", at positions 28 to 638 of the family's 1533-position model. The record is from RNAcentral.
AAUCAACGCUGGCGGCGUGCCUAACACAUGCAAGUCGCACGAGAAAGGGACUUCGGUCCUGAGUAAAGUGGCGCACGGGUGAGUAACACGUGAAUUAUCUACCUCCGAGUGGGGAAUAACUGAGAGAAAUCUUAGCUAAUACCGCAUAACACUUACGAGUCAAAGCAGCAAUGCGCUUGGAGAGGAGUUCGCGGCCGAUUAGUUAGUUGGCGGGGUAAUGGCCCACCAAGACGAUGAUCGGUAUCCGGCCUGAGAGGGCGCACGGACACACUGGAACUGAAACACGGUCCAGACUCCUACGGGAGGCAGCAGUGGGGAAUUUUGCGCAAUGGGGGAAACCCUGACGCAGCAACGCCGCGUGGAGGAUGAAGUAUCUCGGUACGUAAACUCCUUUCGAUGGGGAAGAUUAUGACGGUACCCAUAGAAGAAGCCCCGGCUAACUUCGUGCCAGCAGCCGCGGUAAUACGAGGGGGGCAAGCGUUGUUCGGAUUUAUUGGGCGUAAAGGGUGCGUAGGCGGUUUGGUAAGUCUUUUGUGAAAUCUAUGGGCUCAACUCAUAGACCGCAAGGGAAACUGCCG